Long non-coding RNA from Neopelma chrysocephalum (saffron-crested tyrant-manakin), 2473 nucleotides. RefSeq lists it as uncharacterized. Lineage: Eukaryota; Metazoa; Chordata; Aves; Passeriformes; Pipridae. The transcript has 3 exons. The record is from RefSeq and is a predicted model, not a curated record.
UGUCCUGGGCAGCAGAGGGGACCAGCAGUCCCUGCCCCAGGCAGGAGAGGGAACCAGCAGCCCCUGCCCUGGGCAGCCCUUGCCAGCACGAGGAGAGGGUUUCUCCUCGCACGCCCUGCCCGGCUCUGCCCGUGAGCCUGUUGCUGACUAGGAGCCUAAAACGGUUUUAUCAGCAGAAGCUUUUCAGUUCCUUUUUAAGCCAGUAGAUCUCUGUUACUAACACAUUCCUGAACUGAAUUAAACAAACUAACCGUUGCUGCUUUUCUCUUCAUUUCUCUUCCAGUGUGUGUGUCCUAAGGCAGACCAGUGCCCUGCUUCUGUUACUAACCUGUACUUCUGUUAGCACUGUACUAAUCCUUCCUGACCUGUUUCUCUCUUUGCUACUAACCAAGUCUCUUUGCACUUUGCCUCUCGGAUGCUAUUUGCCAUGACAAGUGACGGUGGCUCCUCCUGGACUUCUGGUUAUCAACCUGCAGCACCCCAAUUUUCAGUGCUGCUGAGCAUCCCUGGCUCCCAUUUGGUGCGAUGGGAAGGAAGAUGCCUUUACUGGAGGGUUUUGAAAAUUUCCCUAUUUGCCUUCUGUUUUCCAAGAAAUUUCAUGUGGCACAACGAGGAAAAGAGGCUGAGAGGCAAUAGGACAAUACAAAACCAUUAAUAAUGACCAGUAAUGGCUGUAAAGAUCCAGCAAACCCAGAGAGAUUCAGCCACAGAGUGAUGCUAUUGUCUAUGAGCCCCACCAGAGCCUGAGUUUGGGGCUCUCCUGGGGCCCCACGUCACCCGUCAUGGGGAAUGGUCUUGUGCUGCUCCCUGAAUUGGCUCACGGACACUCCCGGGCUCCUCUCUUCACUCCCUUUGUCUUUCCACAGUUUAUCUUGUGCCUGGUGCAUGUGGAAGCUGUUGCCAGCAGCGUGGGCGUGACUAACCAUACCUGUGUGUGACCGCUGGGCUGGUAAUGAGCCAAGGGCAGGAGGGGGCAGUGGGUGUCAGAGGGGGCUCUGCCAUCAGGCUGUGAUGGAGGCACAGCCUGGGCUUUGCUUUCUGUCUGUCUGUCAGUCGGAGGAACGUUCCCAGCCUCUCAGGGGUCCUGCCAAGGUGAAGGCUCCAGGACCUGGUCCAUCAGUGUAGGUUUGGACAUGGGCUGGUGACCCAGGGCCAGGCACCACCAGUGUUCAGGACUGCCAUGACCAGCGAGGCAAAGCCAAGCCCUGUGUGCCAGCAGAGGAUGGUGGCCCUGUGCUGCUGGUAGGCAUGGGCUGGCUCAUGAGGACAGCCCAGACCGUGGCUGCUGUGGGGACACAGCAGUGUGGGACUGCCCCCACCAAGGGUCAGGGCAGCUCUGUCUGGCGGUUACAGAUCCGGGCAGCAUCCAGCUCUGGCUGCUCUCUCUUGGCUUUGCCUUAUGCUCACUAACCCCGUGGUGAGGGUCUCCCCAGUCACUGUCACUGGCUGGUGUCACCAUCACCCCACAGCAGCUCCUGCCUUCACUGGAAGGCAGAACCAGAGUGGGGUCCCCUUGGAUGGCUGGGUCCACCCCCUAAUGCUGCCACUACCCCUGGGCAUCCCAGCUCUGCACUGACCCAAGCCUGCUCCUUCAGCUGGGGUGUCACUGGGCUCUCAGGCUGAUGGGGGUCCCCUCCUCACUCAGCUCCGUGUCUGUCCAACCUCCACCUUAUUCCACUAACCAUGUGCCUACCCUUCCUCCACACAGCUGGCACCGGGGUGGGUUUUUGGGCUGAUGCUCCUAUGUUUGAUGGAAGGGGGACACAGGGCCCUGCUGUGGGCUGGGGGCAGAGGAGGAAGCAGGAGUGUGGGGACAGGAAUGGGCUAGGAGGACAAGCCAAGUUGGGCACAAGGUGGGCAGGUUCAGGGCUCCUGCACAAGUAGGAGCACCACCAGCACUGGGCUGGGGUUGUCAGAGCCCACCAUUGUGAGGGACUCUCCUCCCUGCUCCACAACCCCUCUUUCUGCUUCAGAGCAGCCCUCCUGCACCCAGGAGGACCUCCCCAGGCUGGUCACUGAGGGGAGUCAUGGGACCACAAGUCACCCUGAUAGCCAAGAGGAUGCACUGGGCAAAUGUGGCCCUCCAGGGGCAGCCAAUGCUGCCCACAGACCCCUCAGUGGGGACAGGCCACCGGUGCCCUUGGGUGGCUGCUCCCCCUGCAGAGCCACCACUGCUGAGCAGGGCAGGCCUGGAGGGCAAGGAGGCUUCCCCAAACAGCUCCUUUCCUCUGCUCCAGCACCUUGGAGCUCCCUGCCCCUGCUCCCCACUUUCUGCAACUGGAAGAGGAGUUGGUCAGUCUGUCUGUCUGUCUCUCGCGCUUUGGUGCAGGGAGGUGUGGGGCUGGGGCACCCCAGCAGCAAAAUGGGCAGAGGUCAGGAGGUGUCACCCAGCCCUGGGUGCACCAUCUUGCCCAGGGUGCUCCAGACCAAGCUGGCCAAGGCUGCUCCUCCUCUGCAGGUCCCCACACACACC